This is an RNA transcript of Magnolia sinica, 2022 nucleotides long. It is a transcript of the gene named histone deacetylase 6, with no coding region annotated. The transcript is spliced from 7 exons. Lineage: Eukaryota; Viridiplantae; Streptophyta; Magnoliopsida; Magnoliales; Magnoliaceae. The record is from RefSeq and is a predicted model, not a curated record.
CGCUCCUUUCCAACCUUCACUCUCUCUUUUUGAUGGCAGACACCUCCGGCGUCGCCCUCCCAUCAGGGCCCGAUGCUAAAAAGCGCCGGGUGUGCUACUUCUACGAGCCGUCCAUCGGCGACUACUACUACGGCCAGGGCCACCCGAUGAAACCCCACCGCAUCCGGAUGGCCCACAACCUCAUUGUCCACUACUCUCUCCACCGUCUGAUGCAGAUCCACCGUCCGUUCCCCGCCUCCCCCGACGACAUCCGCCGCUUCCACUCCGACGACUACGUCGAUUUCCUCGCCUCCGUCACGCCGGAGACGCAACACGAUCCGUCCACCUUCGGCCGCGACCUCAAGCGCUUCAACGUCGGCGAGGACUGCCCUGUCUUUGACGGCCUCUUCGGAUUCUGCCAGGCGUCCGCCGGGGGCUCGAUCGGCGCUGCCGUCCGAAUCAACCGUGGGGACACGGACAUUGCUGUCAACUGGGCUGGUGGGCUGCAUCACGCCAAGAAAUGCGAGGCUUCGGGGUUCUGCUACGUGAACGAUAUCGUGCUGGGGAUUCUUGAAUUGUUGAAGGUUCACAAGCGCGUUCUGUAUGUAGAUAUAGACAUUCACCAUGGAGAUGGGGUUGAAGAGGCAUUUUUCACAACUGACAGGGUCAUGACUGUAUCUUUCCACAAAUACGGAGAUUACUUUCCUGGAACGGGGCAUCUUAAGGACGUCGGAUUUGGUCAGGGAAAAUACUAUGCUCUAAACGUCCCUUUAAAUGAUGGAAUGGAUGAUGACAGUUUCCGGGGACUAUUUAGGCCCAUCAUUCAAAAAGUCAUGGAGGUUUAUCAGCCAGAUGCAGUUGUUCUUCAAUGUGGGGCGGAUUCUUUGUCUGGAGAUAGGCUAGGUUGCUUCAACUUGUCAGUGAGGGGUCAUGCGGAUUGUCUACGUUUCCUUAGAUCCUUCAACGUCCCUCUGAUGGUUUUGGGUGGUGGAGGCUAUACGAUACGUAAUGUAGCACGUUGCUGGUGCUAUGAGACUGCGGUUGCAGUUGGGGUGGAACCUGAAAAUAAAUUGCCUUACAAUGAAUAUUACGAAUACUUUGGACCGGACUAUACACUCCAUAUUGAACCAAGCAACAUGGAGAAUCAGAACUCACAAAAAGAUUUGGAGAAAAUGAGGAAUGUGCUGCUGGAGCAACUUUCAAAUAUUCAACAUGUUCCCAGUGUACCAUUUCAGACCAGACCCCCCAAUACUGAACCUCCAGAGGAGGAAGAAGAAGAUAUGGACCAAAGGCCAAAAUGUCGUAUAUGGGAUGGUCAAUAUUAUGGAUCUGAAUUUGGGGAAGACGUGAAGCCUCGUGCCUUGAAUGUUGAUGCUCAUUCUAUGGGGAACCCUGACAUGAGUCCUCUAUCCAGUAGACUCUCUUGACCCUGUAUCAUCUCAUGGAGGUCCAUUGACUUCUGCCAAUUGGAGUCUGUAUAAAACCUUUCUUUUCCCCAAAUGGCCACAAGAGAAUAGAAGCGUCAAAGCUGAAACCAAAGAGGAACCUUUAAUCAAAGCAGAGGAAACUUGAUGCGGAAGUAUGAAAAAAAGAAGAAGAAGAAAAGCUGAAGCCAAAGAUGAAGAAACCUUACAUGCUUGUCAUCAUGCCAUUUCUCUUUCAUGAAGAAGCUCCUUUGAGUUGGAUUCUGGUCCACUUCUCCAUUCCUCUAAAUCAUCGAUCUGCAAUUCAAAAAUCAUCAUCACAAUUCUGUGAAUUUCUCUCUCAGUAAAUGCACAUGGAUGCGAUCCUGGAUCUUUUCAAAGGGGAGUCCAAGGACUGCAUUUUCUCUGAAUCAUUGGAUUGUUAGCAACUCAUAUUCCUUUUAUAUUGUUUUCAUGGGCCAGCGAAGAAUGACAGGUUAAGGUAGGGAUUAAAAAGUGUUGUUGUCAUCCAAUUAUUUCUCCUGAAAAAUACCCAUACUAACAUGAGUAGGAGUUGAAUUCACAUUACUGACUCUAUGCAAUGCAUCUGUAAAAGAUAACUCAUGACACUUGUGUGGUU